This 159-nucleotide non-coding RNA is filed under the name Protocruzia adhaerens. The record is from RNAcentral. Lineage: Eukaryota; Ciliophora; Spirotrichea.
AAAAUGCAUUCAACAAGUUCGAGAAGAAGAAAAAUCAAAAGACUAUCAUGGAGUAUAUGCAUUCCAAGCUCAAAUGAGUUGACAAUGAAGUGUUUGUUUGUUUUCCCCUUUUUCUGUUUAUUCGCUUGUUUCUUCCAUCAUGAAUUGGUGUACUUCUUA